Molecule: ribosomal RNA, 419 nt
Filed under: uncultured Prevotella sp.
Lineage: Bacteria; Pseudomonadati; Bacteroidota; Bacteroidia; Bacteroidales; Prevotellaceae
Description: bacterial SSU rRNA
Rfam family: Bacterial small subunit ribosomal RNA
Source: RNAcentral
GGAAUAUUGGUCAAUGGACGAAAGUCUGAACCAGCCAAGUAGCGUGCAGGAUGACGGCCCUAUGGGUUGUAAACUGCUUUUAUACAGGGAUAAAGUCGGGAACGUGUUCCCGUUUGUAGGUACUGUAUGAAUAAGGACCGGCUAAUUCCGUGCCAGCAGCCGCGGUAAUACGGAAGGUCCGGGCGUUAUCCGGAUUUAUUGGGUUUAAAGGGAGCGCAGGCCGAUGGUUAAGCGUGACGUGAAAUGUAGCCGCUCAACGGCUGAACUGCGUCGCGAACUGGCUGUCUUGAGUGAGUUCGAUGUGGGCGGAAUUCGUGGUGUAGCGGUGAAAUGCUUAGAUAUCACGAAGAACUCCGAUUGCGAAGGCAGCCAACAAGGCCUUUACUGACGCUAAAGCUCGAAGGUGCGGGUAUCGAACA